AGAAGAGCAAUCUGGCAGCAGCAUUUGUCACACCAGGAUUGAUUUUGCUGAUCUGGCUAGCUAAAUGGCUGCCUCUGUCCUCCCUCUCUUACCGCUCCAUGUGCAUUCCUCCUCUUUCAAGAGGAGAGCCAUUGUUGGAUAGACAGGUAACUGUGUAUAGGGUAUACAGGUAACUGUGCUCACUUACUAGAACCUCCAAACAAGCUCUUAAUAACAAUUCUACAGGAAGAUAUGUCCAGAAGUGUGGCAUCUGCUUCUUGAAAAUUCAUUGUGCACUUGUUUGUGCUGGAGGCUCUAAGAAGUUUUGGAACAAAUAUGCUUUAAU
Molecule: unclassified non-coding RNA, 325 nt
Organism: Dipodomys ordii (Ord's kangaroo rat)
Lineage: Eukaryota; Metazoa; Chordata; Mammalia; Rodentia; Heteromyidae
Gene: 7SK
Rfam family: 7SK RNA
About the family: 7SK was discovered as an abundant small nuclear RNA in the mid-70s but a possible function has only recently been suggested. Two independent studies have found that 7SK RNA binds the CDK9/cyclin T complex (known as elongation factor P-TEFb).
Source: Ensembl